Long non-coding RNA from Cygnus atratus (black swan), 2507 nucleotides. RefSeq lists it as uncharacterized. Lineage: Eukaryota; Metazoa; Chordata; Aves; Anseriformes; Anatidae. The record is from RefSeq and is a predicted model, not a curated record. The transcript has 3 exons.
GGACUGCUCUUCACAUGUGUCGAAGUCAAAUCCCACCAGAAAGUCAUUAUUAAUUUUCUUCACCAAGCAAAAAAAAAAGUGAGUCAUAUGAAGGUGUGAGCAACAUUAUAUCACAUUUAAAGGAGGAAGAGCAACCUUUGUAUCUGACAUUUUUGACAUCUGCAAGAACAGAAGUGACCAUGUGGCAUACUGCUGCAACAGAGACUGGCCGGGAGAACCCCUAGUCAUGCACAAGAGAUGAGUGGCUAAAAUGGGCAUCCAGCACUGACAUUGCCUGUCAGAACCGAGAGAACAGGCAUCAAGAACAGACGUGCACUGAGAUCUGGAAGAGACGAGGUCAGAGAAACACAGCAUGCUUCUGGACCUGCUGGGAUAGCUCAGGAGUGGAGCAAGAGAAAUGAUGAGAAAAGAGGAGAGCUGACUCUCUGUCUUGCAGUUCUCGGCCUUGCAUGUUCCCUGGCUGCUCUCACUGGGUUGAGGUGGUCUGCAUACACCCUUCUCCAUGUGUUAGCUUGCAACUUAUCUGCAGAAAGGACUAUGCCUUCCCGUUCUCCUGCCUCUUCUUUCCAUUCGGCACAAACAUAAACCAUGGCUCCUCUAAGUCUACCAAGAGUAAAGAGAAACAUGGAAUACUUUAUUACAUUUUGAGUAACAUUUUGGGAAGAGCUAAAGCCAUCAUUUAAGUGUUUCUCAAAGUUCAGUUAGAUCUACCUGAGCAGCACAUCUCUAACAUGAGUUGGAAGUCCACACGGCUAGAAAGAGCCUCCUUCCGACAUUGUAUCACAUAUAUUGCACACAUCCUUCCAACACCUAGCUCUGUUGCUUCUCAGUAGUAAUGCACACUGGCUUUGUCAUACCAUCACUCAGAGGUUUAAUUCAGAUGGGGAGUUUGAGAUUUAGUGGUGUGAUCCUUCACAGGUAAUCUUCCAGGGAAUGGAAAAGACAUGGCAACGUUUCUGGGCUGGGGCUUCUGCAGCACAUAUGUGGCGAGAGGCAGAUAGCUCUCAUUUGAUACACACAAAUUCAAGUCAGUUUGCCAUUGCAGAUAAAUGCUGUCAAAGAAACAUUAAUCCCUUCUUAGAUCCAUUAUCAGUGUCACACACUAUCUGUCAUAGUGCCACAGCCUAGGGCAUCAUUCAGAGAUAGGAGAGAAUUUAGAUUUCAUUGUUGCAAAAAACAGGAGGUGCUACUAGGUGUGUUUAUUUCCAGAAAACAUAAAACUCCAGCAAUUAAUACUAUCACAAAACCAAAUACUUUCCCUUGUAAAUCCAUAUUAAAAAUAUAUGUAGAAGGAGCAGGGCAAACUAAUCUUCUCUCACAAAGCUCUUCUGUUGCCUUGUAACUGCUCCUGCUGAGAUCUGGGUCCCUUUAGUUCGUGUCACCAGCUUAAGACAGAGAACUGUCAUUCAGUACAGGUGAGACCAUCAGAUGAAUGGGUGAAGAGAUGUACUCAGAGUGAAGAAAUGCAGAUAUGACACACGUGGUAUCCCACACAACCGUUUCACAUCCCUGUAAUGUAUCACACUUCCUUUCCUCUCUGGCCCAUUGGAGAAAUGACAAAGUUGAACAGGAACAUUGCUUACUGUUUAAAUUUCAGCUAACAGAAAAUUUUCUUUAUGUUGAAUGCACCCUAACUUCUGGCUAACUCUACUCAUUCUCAAAUUUCUGUCUCAGCUUUAAGACUAAUCUGGUACUUCCUAGUGAGCCCCUGAAACUGCAGUGAGUACUUGGUUCCCUUAUGUCCCUUUCAGUCUGUCAGUAAAAAAGUAGAGAUGAGAUCUGAACAGAGAUGCAAUAAUUAAGGAACCAAGUGUUGCACUAAAAAUACCAGAUUUACAUUAGUUCAGGAUAUUACUAGCAUUACUAUAUAUUAAAUAGCAUAAUUUGUGUCCCCUUUUAAACUGCAUUUUACUAUGGCCAUGGGUUAAAGAACAUGUUAAGGUUUAGAAAUGAAUUUUCCCCUUACCAUUUCUUAUCUAAGGCUUCACUUCUGUGUGAGUAGUAUAGAUCUUUAUGAAAGGAGAAAAGAGCUUUGAAUGCCAUUUUUUAAACUUUUUUUUUUUGCAGAUAGUUUCACAUGAUAAAUGUGGAGAUCUGAAGUGCUUGGUAGCAUGUAAGGAGGUGGAUAAAUUACUGUUCAAUUAGAGCAAAAGACAUUGCUGAAAAGUACUUGUAAUGAGAUAAUUGCAAGGGCCAAAGCUGAGAGUAACACUCAGUGCUGGCAGCAGCUUAGUUAAACAUGUGGUUAAUGAUGUUAUAGGAAGAACAGGUAUGUACAAUAUUCAGCUGUGCCAGCAGUAAAUAUUAAUUUUAUGUGACAGCAAUAGUGUCUUACUGAGACUGAUAUUUGACAUACAAAACUCCCAUAAUUAUUUUAAUAUCUUCACUUACCAGUGAUUUUAAUGAUAUGACAAAGAUUUUAGGUGUUUGCUGAAACAGCACUACUGUCAUUUACUAUCAAUCAAGUAAAAUGUCAUUCUAAUUCAUUUCGCUGCAAAAAUCAGAAC